GGGUUGUGAGGUUAAGCGACUAAGCGUACACGGUGGAUGCCCUGGCAGUCAGAGGCGAUGAAGGACGUGCUAAUCUGCGAAAAGCGCCGGCGAGGUGAUAUGAACCCUUGACCCGGCGAUGUCCGAAUGGGGAAACCCAGUGCAAUCCGUUGCACUAUCGUUAACUGAAUACAUAGGUUAACGAGGCGAACCGGGGGAACUGAAACAUCUAAGUACCCCGAGGAAAAGAAAUCAACCGAGAUUCCCCCAGUAGCGGCGAGCGAACGGGGAGCAGCCCGGAGUCUGAAUCAGCUUGUGUGUUAGUGGAACGGUCUGGAAAGUCCGACGGUACAGGGUGAUAGUCCCGUACACGAAAGCACACUUGCUGUGAACUCGAAGAGUAGGGCGGGACACGUGGUAUCCUGUCUGAAUAUGGGGGGACCAUCCUCCAAGGCUAAAUACUCCUGACUGACCGAUAGUGAACCAGUACCGUGAGGGAAAGGCGAAAAGAACCCCGGCGAGGGGAGUGAAAAAGAACCUGAAACCGUGUACGUACAAGCAGUGGGAGCCUCUUUAUGGGGUGACUGCGUACCUUUUGUAUAAUGGGUCAGCGACUUAUAUUCUGUAGCAAGGUUAACCGUAUAGGGGAGCCGAAGGGAAACCGAGUCUUAACUGGGCGUUAAGUUGCAGGGUAUAGACCCGAAACCCGGUGAUCUAGCCAUGGGCAGGUUGAAGGUUGGGUAACACUAACUGGAGGACCGAACCGACUAAUGUUGAAAAAUUAGCGGAUGACCUGUGGCUGGGGGUGAAAGGCCAAUCAAACCGGGAGAUAGCUGGUUCUCCCCGAAAGCUAUUUAGGUAGCGCCUCGUGAACUCAUCUUCGGGGGUAGAGCACUGUUUCGGCUAGGGGGCCAUCCCGGCUUACCAACCCGAUGCAAACUACGAAUACCGAAGAAUGUUAUCACGGGAGACACACGGCGGGUGCUAACGUCCGUCGUGAAGAGGGAAACAACCCAGACCGCCAGCUAAGGUCCCAAAGUCAUGGUUAAGUGGGAAACGAUGUGGGAAGGCACAGACAGCCAGGAUGUUGGCUUAGAAGCAGCCAUCAUUUAAAGAAAGCGUAAUAGCUCACUGGUCGAGUCGGCCUGCGCGGAAGAUGUAACGGGGCUAAACCAUGCACCGAAGCUGCGGCAGCGACGCUUAUGCGUUGUUGGGUAGGGGAGCGUUCUGUAAGCCGUUGAAGGUGUCCUGUGAGGGGUGCUGGAGGUAUCAGAAGUGCGAAUGCUGACAUAAGUAACGAUAAAGCGGGUGAAAAGCCCGCUCGCCGGAAGACCAAGGGUUCCUGUCCAACGUUAAUCGGGGCAGGGUGAGUCGACCCCUAAGGCGAGGCCGAAAGGCGUAGUCGAUGGGAAACAGGUUAAUAUUCCUGUACUUGGUGUUACUGCGAAGGGGGGACGGAGAAGGCUAUGUCAGCCGGGCGACGGUUGUCCCGGUUUAAGCAUGUAGGCGGAGGUUCCAGGUAAAUCCGGUACCUUGUUAACGCUGAGGUGUGAUGACGAGGCACUACGGUGCUGAAGUGAUAAAUGCCCUGCUUCCAGGAAAAGCCUCUAAGCAUCAGGUAACACGAAAUCGUACCCCAAACCGACACAGGUGGUCAGGUAGAGAAUACCAAGGCGCUUGAGAGAACUCGGGUGAAGGAACUAGGCAAAAUGGUGCCGUAACUUCGGGAGAAGGCACGCUGAUGUGUAGGUGAAGUCCCUGCGGACGGAGCUGAAAUCAGUCGAAGAUACCAGCUGGCUGCAACUGUUUAUUAAAAACACAGCACUGUGCAAACACGAAAGUGGACGUAUACGGUGUGACGCCUGCCCGGUGCCGGAAGGUUAAUUGAUGGGGUUAGCGGCAACGCGAAGCUCUUGAUCGAAGCCCCGGUAAACGGCGGCCGUAACUAUAACGGUCCUAAGGUAGCGAAAUUCCUUGUCGGGUAAGUUCCGACCUGCACGAAUGGCGUAAUGAUGGCCAGGCUGUCUCCACCCGAGACUCAGUGAAAUUGAACUCGCUGUGAAGAUGCAGUGUACCCGCGGCAAGACGGAAAGACCCCGUGAACCUUUACUAUAGCUUGACACUGAACACUGGUCCUUGAUGUGUAGGAUAGGUGGGAGGCUUUGAAGCGUGGACGCCAGUCUGCGUGGAGCCAACCUUGAAAUACCACCCUUUAAUGGCUGGUGUUCUAACGUAGACCCGUAAUCCGGGUUGCGGACAGUGUCUGGUGGGUAGUUUGACUGGGGCGGUCUCCUCCCAAAGAGUAACGGAGGAGCACGAAGGUUGGCUAAUCCUGGUCGGACAUCAGGAGGUUAGUGCAAUGGCAUAAGCCAGCUUGACUGCGAGCGUGACGGCGCGAGCAGGUGCGAAAGCAGGUCAUAGUGAUCCGGUGGUUCUGAAUGGAAGGGCCAUCGCUCAACGGAUAAAAGGUACUCCGGGGAUAACAGGCUGAUACCGCCCAAGAGUUCAUAUCGACGGCGGUGUUUGGCACCUCGAUGUCGGCUCAUCACAUCCUGGGGCUGAAGUAGGUCCCAAGGGUAUGGCUGUUCGCCAUUUAAAGUGGUACGCGAGCUGGGUUUAGAACGUCGUGAGACAGUUCGGUCCCUAUCUGCCGUGGGCGCUGGAGAAUUGAGGGGGGCUGCUCCUAGUACGAGAGGACCGGAGUGGACGCAUCACUGGUGUUCGGGUUGUCAUGCCAAUGGCACUGCCCGGUAGCUAAAUGCGGAAGAGAUAAGUGCUGAAAGCAUCUAAGCACGAAACUUGCCCCGAGAUGAGUUCUCCCUGAGACUUUAAGUCUCCUGAAGGAACGUUGAAGACGACGACGUUGAUAGGUCGGGUGUGUAAGCGCAGCGAUGCGUUGAGCUAACCGAUACUAAUGAACCGUGAGGCUUAACCUUACAACGCCGAAGCUGUU
Molecule: ribosomal RNA, 2932 nt
Filed under: Enterobacter hormaechei
Lineage: Bacteria; Pseudomonadati; Pseudomonadota; Gammaproteobacteria; Enterobacterales; Enterobacteriaceae
Description: 23S ribosomal RNA
Rfam family: Bacterial large subunit ribosomal RNA
Source: RNAcentral